AGUCGGACGGCAGCACAGAGAAGCUUGCUUCUCGGGUGGCGAGUGGCGAACGGGUGAGUAACAUAUCGGAACGUACCGAGUAGUGGGGGAUAACUGAUCGAAAGAUCAGCUAAUACCGCAUACGUCUUGAGAGAGAAAGCAGGGGACCUUCGGGCCUUGCGCUAUUCGAGCGGCCGAUAUCUGAUUAGCUAGUUGGUGGGGUAAAGGCCUACCAAGGCGACGAUCAGUAGCGGGUCUGAGAGGAUGAUCCGCCACACUGGGACUGAGACACGGCCCAGACUCCUACGGGAGGCAGCAGUGGGGAAUUUUGGACAAUGGGCGCAAGCCUGAUCCAGCCAUGCCGCGUGUCUGAAGAAGGCCUUCGGGUUGUAAAGGACUUUUGUCAGGGAAGAAAAGGCUGUUGCUAAUAUCAGCGGCUGAUGACGGUACCUGAAGAAUAAGCACCGGCUAA
This 451-nucleotide ribosomal RNA is filed under the name Neisseria meningitidis. RNAcentral's name for it is "bacterial SSU rRNA". It matches the Rfam family "Bacterial small subunit ribosomal RNA", at positions 60 to 500 of the family's 1533-position model. Lineage: Bacteria; Pseudomonadati; Pseudomonadota; Betaproteobacteria; Neisseriales; Neisseriaceae. The record is from RNAcentral.